GAUGAACGCUGGCGGCGUGCUUAACACAUGCAAGUCGAGCGGACAGACGAGGCUCUUGUGGCUCGGACGAGUGGGGCGGACGUGUGAGUAACACGUGUAUCAUGCACCUGUAAUACUGGGAUAACCUGGGGAAACCGGAUCUAAUACCGUAUAAGAUAUUGAACCGCGUGGGGCAAUGGUGAAAUACGGUGGUUGUGUCUGGUAUAGCGGCAUCCGGGCCGCAUUGGCUGGUUGGGAAGGUAAAGGCUUACGAAGGCAAGGAUGCGUAGCCGAACUGUGAGGGUGAUAGGCCGCACUGGAAGUGAGCCACGCACAAGACUCCUACGGGAGGCCGCAGUCUGGAACCUUCCGCAACGGGGGAAAGCCUGACGCAGCGACGCCGAGUGAGUGAUGGCGGUCUUCGGAUCGUAAAACUGUGCUAUUAGGGAAAAACAAAUUUGUAAGUAACUAUACCCGUCUUGACGGUACCUGAUAAGAAAGCACCGGCUAACUACGUG
RNAcentral lists this ribosomal RNA (497 nucleotides) under uncultured bacterium. RNAcentral describes it as "partial 16S ribosomal RNA". It matches the Rfam family "Bacterial small subunit ribosomal RNA", at positions 28 to 507 of the family's 1533-position model. The record is from RNAcentral.